AUUGAACGCUGGCGGCAGGCCUAACACAUGCAAGUCGAACGAGUGGCGGACGGGUGUGUAAUGUCGGGGACACUGCCUGAUGGAGGGGGAUAACUACGGGACACGGUAGCUAAUACCGCAUACCAUCAGAUGUGCCCAGAGGGGAUUAGCGAGUUGGUGGGGUAACGGCUCGCCGAGGCGACGACCCCUAGCUGGUCUGAGAGGAUCACCGGCCAAACGGGAACGGAGACACGGUCCAGACGCCGACGGGAGGCAGCAGUGGGAAAUAUGGAAAAAUGGGCGCAAGCCUGAUGCAGCCAGGCGGGGGGUGGGAAGGAGGCCUUGGGGUUGUAAAGCAUUUUCAGCGGGGAGGCGUUACCCGCAGAAGAAGCACCGGAUAACUCCGUGCCAGCAGCCGCGGUAAUAC
This 406-nucleotide ribosomal RNA is filed under the name uncultured bacterium. Its description in RNAcentral is "partial 16S ribosomal RNA". It matches the Rfam family "Bacterial small subunit ribosomal RNA", at positions 29 to 526 of the family's 1533-position model. The record is from RNAcentral.